This 253-nucleotide ribosomal RNA is filed under the name uncultured Prevotella sp. Its description in RNAcentral is "partial 16S ribosomal RNA". It matches the Rfam family "Bacterial small subunit ribosomal RNA", at positions 524 to 776 of the family's 1533-position model. The record is from RNAcentral. Lineage: Bacteria; Pseudomonadati; Bacteroidota; Bacteroidia; Bacteroidales; Prevotellaceae.
UACGGAGGAUCCGAGCGUUAUCCGGAUUUAUUGGGUUUAAAGGGAGCGUAGGCAGGUCUUUAAGCGUGCCGUGAAAUUUUGUGGCUCAACCAUGAGAGUGCGGCGCGAACUGGAGACCUUGAGUGCGCGGAAGGCAGGCGGAAUUCGUGGUGUAGCGGUGAAAUGCUUAGAUAUCACGAAGAACCCCGAUUGCGAAGGCAGCCUGCCGGUGCACAACUGACGCUCAGGCACGAAAGCGUGGGUAUCGAACAGG